AGGACGAACGCUGGCGGCGUGCUUAACACAUGCAAGUCGAGCGGAAAGGCCCUUCGGGGUACUCGAGCGGCGAACGGGUGAGUAACACGUGAGCAACCUGCCCUUAGCUCUGGGAUAGCUCCGGGAAACCGGAAUUAAUACCGGAUACGACCACAGCCGACAUCUGCUGUGGUGGAAAGGAUUCCGGCUAAGGAUGGGCUCGCGGCCCAUCAGCUAGUUGGUGGAGUAACGGCCCACCAAGGCGACGACGGGUA
RNAcentral lists this ribosomal RNA (254 nucleotides) under uncultured bacterium. RNAcentral describes it as "partial small subunit ribosomal RNA". It matches the Rfam family "Bacterial small subunit ribosomal RNA", at positions 26 to 285 of the family's 1533-position model. The record is from RNAcentral.